AUUCCAGCUCCAAUAGCGUAUAUUUAAGUUGUUGCAGUUAAAAAGCUCGUAGUUGGAUUUUGGUUAAGAGGGCGCGGUCGGCCGUUUGGUCUGUACUGCGUUGUCUUGACUUCCUGAUGAGGACAUGCUCUUGGUUAACGCUGAGACAUGGAGUCAUCGUGGUUACUUUGAAAAAAUUAGAGUGUUCAAAGCGGGCUUACGCUUGAAUAUAUUAGCAUGGAAUAACACUAUAGGACUCCUGUCCUAUCUCGUUGGUCUCGGGAUGGGAGUAAUGAUUAACAGGGACAGUCAGGGGCACUCGUAUUCCGCCGAGAGAGGUGAAAUUCUCAGACCAGCGGAGGACGAACCACUGCGAAAGCAUUUGCCAGGGAUGUUUUCAUCA
Molecule: ribosomal RNA, 382 nt
Filed under: Bathycoccus sp.
Lineage: Eukaryota; Viridiplantae; Chlorophyta; Mamiellophyceae; Mamiellales; Bathycoccaceae
Description: partial small subunit ribosomal RNA
Rfam family: Eukaryotic small subunit ribosomal RNA
Source: RNAcentral